This 159-nucleotide ribosomal RNA is filed under the name Peridinium willei. RNAcentral describes it as "5.8S ribosomal RNA". It matches the Rfam family "5.8S ribosomal RNA". Rfam says of the family: 5.8S ribosomal RNA (5.8S rRNA) is a component of the large subunit of the eukaryotic ribosome. It is transcribed by RNA polymerase I as part of the 45S precursor that also contains 18S and 28S rRNA. Lineage: Eukaryota; Dinophyceae; Peridiniales; Peridiniaceae. The record is from RNAcentral.
ACCACAUUCAGCAAUGGAUGUCUUGGCUUGAGCAAUGAUGAAGGGCGCAGCGAACUGUGAUAUGCACUGUGAAUUGCAAAAUUCCGUGAGUCAAUAGAGACUUGAACGUGCAGUGUGCUUCUGGGACAUUCCUGAAAGUAUGCCUGCUUCAGUGUUUGC